GCAGACAGUAACGUUAGUCGAGCUCCACAAAUAGUAUCGUUUGGAUACAAAGACUUUGAACUGGACCGUGUGAAUAACAAAAGAUUUGCCAGAUGCAAAAUAUGCAACAACGUCAAAUUUCAUUCGUUAUUUUAAGAACCACAAGGAAAGCUCUAGUUGACCGUGUGAGAGACCCCGGGAAUAAUACACAGCCAGGCUUGGCCCGAUGAAAGGAGGUCAUAGAUACAGAACAACAUCCACCAGGCUAGCGGGGAGCUCAGAGUAGCAGUCUAAAUAUACAGAGACUGGAGUGAAUAUUUUCAAGCAGGUCUCAUAAUGAUGCUGCUGUCCUGGUCCCUGAAACUGCCCUCCUUCCCUCCCUGUUGAUGGUGGAACUGGCAGAUUCCCACUGACUUCAGGACAGCACCACCACAGCUGGAGGAGGUGCAGCAGGGCAGGGCUUCUCUGUGUGUGUGUGUGUGUGUGGGUCUGUCUCUCUGGGUGUGUGUGUGUGGGUCUGUCUCUAUGGGUGUGUGUGUGUGUGGGUCUGUCUCUGUGGGUGUGUGUGUGUGGGUCUGUCUCUAUGGGUGUGUGUGUGUGUGGGUCUGUCUCUGUGGGUGUGUGUGUGUGGGUCUGUCUCUAUGGGUGUGGGUUUUGGUCUGUCUCUGUGGGUGUGUGUGUGUGGGUCUGUCUCUAUGGGUGUGUGUGUGUGGGUCUGUCUCUGUGGGUGUGUGUGUGUGGGUCUGUUUCUAUGGGUGUGUGGGUGUGUCUGUGGGUCUGUCUCUCUGGGUGUGUGUGUUGGUCUGUCUGUCUGUGUGGGUGUGUGUGUGUGUGGGUCUGUCUCUGUGCUUGUGUGUGUGUGGGUCUGUCUCUGUGCUUGUGUGUGUGUGGGUCUGUCUCUGUGUGUGUGUGUGUGUGUGUGUGUGUGUCUUUGUGUGUAUGUGUGUGUGUGUGUGUGUGUGUGUGUGUGAGGGUGUGUGUGUGCACAUGUGCGCUUCUAUGGGUCUCUGUGUGUGUGGAGGUGUGUAUAUUGUGCCUAAACACUUUUUGUGUGAGCUCAGUGUAUGCUGUAGUAUCUUAUUGGUGUGUUUUGUACUUUCCUGUGGACUUACUGUAUGCCAUUUGUGUAGUGUACUUUAUUGAAGAUGCAGUGUAGUUGUACAACAUUUGUGAGGC
Long non-coding RNA from Esox lucius (northern pike), 1155 nucleotides. The record is from Ensembl. NCBI's taxonomy places the organism in Eukaryota, Metazoa, Chordata, Actinopteri, Esociformes, Esocidae.